This 533-nucleotide ribosomal RNA is filed under the name Carobius pulchellus. Its description in RNAcentral is "partial 16S ribosomal RNA". It matches the Rfam family "Archaeal large subunit ribosomal RNA", at positions 1901 to 2677 of the family's 2987-position model. Lineage: Eukaryota; Metazoa; Arthropoda; Insecta; Neuroptera; Hemerobiidae. The record is from RNAcentral.
AAAAACAUGUCCUUUUGUUUAUAAUUUAAGGUCUAACCUGCCCACUGAUUUAAUAUUUAAGGGCCGCAGUAUACUGACUGUGCAAAGGUAGCAUAAUCAUUUGUCUUUUAAUUGAAGGCUGGAAUGAAUGGUUGAAUGAAGUAUUAACUGUCUCAUUUUAAUAAUUUAAUAACUUAGCUUUUUAAUUAAAAGGUUAAAAUUUAUUUAAAAGACGAGAAGACCCUAUAGAUUUUUAUAUUUUAAAUUUAUAGUAUUGAUAGGUAUAUUAAUAUAUUAUUAUUAUUUAAAUUAUUUGAUUGGGGUGAUUUAAAAAUUUAAUUAACUUUUUAUGUAUUAAAUCAUUAAUUUAUGAAUUUAUGAUCCAAUUUUAUUGAUUAUAAGAUUAAAUUACCUUAGGGAUAACAGCGUAAUUUUUUUGGAGAGUUCUUAUCGAUAAAAAAGAUUGCGACCUCGAUGUUGAAUUAAAGGUUAUAUUUAAAUGAAGUAGUUUAAAAUUUAGGUCUGUUCGACCUUUAAAUCUUUACAUGAUCUGA